AACGAACGCUGGCGGCAUGCCUAACACAUGCAAGUCGAACGAGACCUUCGGGUCUAGUGGCGCACGGGUGCGUAACGCGUGGGAACCUGCCCUUAGGUUCGGAAUAACUCCCCGAAAGGGGUGCUAAUACCGGAUAAUGUCUUCGGACCAAAGAUUUAUCGCCUUUGGAUGGGCCCGCGUUGGAUUAGCUAGUUGGUAGGGUAAAAGCCUACCAAGGCGACGAUCCAUAGCUGGUCUGAGAGGAUGAUCAGCCACACUGGGACUGAGACACGGCCCAGACUAGUGCGGGAGGGAGGAGUGGGAAAGGGUGUAGAAGGGGCUCAGCCGUGAUCAGGGACGGCCGGGCGGGGGAUGGGGGCCUUAGGGUUGAAAAGUUUUUGUACCGGGUAUGAUGAUAACAGGGGAGGGGAAAGAAGCCCCGGCUAACGCAGUGCAUGCCGCGGCGGUAUAAAACGGCCGAGCCCAAGUCCAAU
RNAcentral lists this ribosomal RNA (473 nucleotides) under uncultured bacterium. RNAcentral describes it as "partial 16S ribosomal RNA". It matches the Rfam family "Bacterial small subunit ribosomal RNA", at positions 37 to 537 of the family's 1533-position model. The record is from RNAcentral.